This is a non-coding RNA of Equus caballus (horse), 1897 nucleotides long. Lineage: Eukaryota; Metazoa; Chordata; Mammalia; Perissodactyla; Equidae. The record is from RefSeq and is a predicted model, not a curated record.
UCAUCAAGCCACUCUGUGGCGGCAUCCUAAGUACAAAAUAGAGGAAGAUUGGCACAGAUGUUAGCUCAGUGACAAUCUUCCUCACCCCCCUCAAAAAUAUAUAUAUACUUGUAAAUUGAAAUUAACGUGCUAUAGACAUACGUUUAUAGGUCAAUGAUGUAACUUCUUGUUAUAACCAUAUACUGUCAAAAGAACUAUAGUGACUUAUUUUAUUAUAAUUAUAUUUUAUGCUAGAGAUUUAAAUUCUUAUUAGGUAUAACUUGUGUGGUUUUCUUUAGACAAUUCUUCAACCAUCUAAGGGUGAAGAGAUCUUAAAGACUUCUUGCAAAUAUUUUAAGGUGACUUUGGGUUAUUGCUCUGCAGCUCUUUGCUUUAAAAAAAAAGAGAAUCAGUCAUGCCCCGGCCUGAAAAUGCAUGUCAUGCAUACACCCACAGUAAAUAAAUUUUUCAAAGCUCAUUUAUGAGGUCCAGUGUCAGUUUUAAGGUAUUUUGGUAUGUUCUCUGUAACUUUUUCUUUUUUUUUUUUUAACAGCUACGUCCUUUUAUUAAGUUGUGUGAGAAUAGUAACAGGGCUCUUUUUUUGUUUCAUUGCCAGUUACUUUGAUCUGGCAUUCAUAUUUGGUGUCUAUUUUGAUUCUUAAGCCUAUAUCAUAAUUCCAUGGCCUCAGUUCUGAAAUGCAAACUAAGUCCAGCUUGUUUUAAGUUCUGAUAAUAAAAGUUUCUUUUCAUGGCUUUUGUUUGUUUGUUGGGUAGGUAGGAAGUUGGUUUUUUACCUACUUGCUUCCUUAUUGCCCAAGUAUCUUAGAACUUAAACUCAUCUGGAGUUGUUGCCUGGCUGGCCUUGUUUAAUUAAGUGUAGAUGCCUGGGGCCAUGUGGCAUUAUUGCUAAAAUACUGGGCUUUGCAAAGCUUUUCUUCUGCAUAGUUAUUGUUUGAUUUUAAGUUUUUAUGUAGUUCUUGGUUGUGAAGAAUUCCUUCAAGAACGGUUUUUCUGAAGAAUAUGUUUUUAUUAAAUGCUGAUGACUUUUCUCAGUUUUCCAAUUUAGUAGGUCACCUUUAAUGUCCAUUAAAGUGAAAUAAAACUUCCAGCCUUAAACAUUUUUCGUUGCUUAAAGAUUAUCUCAGAAUAGUUUAAUUUGUCAUUUCUUUUUGACUAAUCAGAUAUACUGUCCAAAUGACUGGAUUGUUAAAUUAUGUUUUUUAAGACUGCUAAUUGAAGUAAGAUUACUGAUUAAGCCUAGAAGAGGGGGACCCCCCUGAACCUGGAGUAUUUUCCCCUCCUCCUUCAAAGAUGAGACUAGAUGAGUGUGUUAAUGUUUUUUUAAAACACUGAUUCUUUCCUUCCUAAUGAUUAUUUCAGUUUGCAGUUCCAUGUUUAUUCACAUUUUAUUUGCAUGAUUAAUUUGUUAAUGGCUGUAUCCUCUUGUAGACUGAAUAUAACCUUGACUGUUUAUCUUUUGGCCAACCAUUGUAUCCCUGUUUUCUACUAUAGCACUUGGUAUAUUGGUUGGUUCUUGUAAAUAUCAAGACAUCCAGCAGUUAUUAUGGGCCAGUCACUGUUCUAAGGGCUUUAAUGAAUUUGAACUUAAUCCUCAUGACAACCCUAUGAGGUAGGUUCUAUCAUUAUAUUACAGGCAAGGAAACUGAUUUGUAUCACAGGUUAAGUAACUUACUCAAAGUCAAAACUAGUGAGUUGUGGAGAAGAGAUUUCAAACUCAGGCGCCCUUGCUUUGUGUUCUGUGUUAACUGCUAUUGUAUGCUGCUUAUGUCAGUGGAAUUAAUAGGUUCCAUAAAACAUUGGCACAUAGCAUGGAAAACUUGUAACACUGUGUUUGGUCAUCAGGAACAAAUUUUUAAUUUCGUAUGUUUUGUUAGAAAAUAAAUUUAUAAAAUAUAUA